UCCUACGGGAGGCAGCAGUAGGGAAUCUUCCGCAAUGGACGAAAGUCUGACGGAGCAACGCCGCGUGAGUGAUGAAGGUUUUCGGAUCGCAAAACUCUGUUGUUAGGGAAGAACAAGUUGGGUAGUAACUGACCCAACCUUGACGGUACCUAACCAGAAACCCCGGCUAACUCCGUGCCAGCAGCCGCGGUAAUACGGAGGGGGUUAGCGUUGUUCGGAAUUACUGGGCGUAAAGCGCACGUAGGCGGACUGGAAAGUUGGGGGUGAAAUCCCGGGGCUCAACCCCGGAACUGCCUCCAAAACUAUCAGUCUAGAGUUCGAGAGAGGUGAGUGGAAUUCCGAGUGUAGAGGUGAAAUUCGUAGAUAUUCGGAGGAACACCAGUGGCGAAGGCGGCUCACUGGCUCGAUACUGACGCUGAGGUGCGAAAGUGUGGGGAGCAAACAGGAUUAGAUACCCUGGUAGUCCACACCGUAAACGAUGAAUGCCAGUCGUCGGGUAGCAUGCUAUUCGGUGACACACCUAACGGAUUAAGCAUUCCGCCUGGGGAGUACGGUCGCAAGAUUAAAACUCAAAUGAAUUGACGGA
Molecule: ribosomal RNA, 586 nt
Filed under: uncultured bacterium
Lineage: Bacteria
Description: bacterial SSU rRNA
Rfam family: Bacterial small subunit ribosomal RNA
Source: RNAcentral